UAAACUGGGAUUAGAUACCCCACUAUGCCAAGUUGUAAACUUUAAUUUACACCCCACUCUAUCGCCAGGAGACUACGAGCUAAGCUUAAAACCCAAAGGACUUGACGGUACCCCAUAUCCCCCUAGAGGAGCCUGUCCCAUAAUUGAUAACCCCCGCUGAACCUCACCAUUCUUAGUCUAUCAGCCUGUAUACUUCCGUCGUCAGCUAACCACAUGAGUGAAACUCAGUGAGCCCAACGGUCACCCACCAAAACGUCAGGUCAAAGUGCAGCAAAUAGAAUGGGAUCAGAUGGGCUACACUUUCUAAUGUAGAAAAUAACGAAAGACUAUGUGAAACCCGAGUCAGAAGGUGGAUUUAGAAGUAAAAAGAAAUCAGAGAGUUCUUUUUAACCUGGUACUGGGGUGUGUACACACCGCCCCGUCACCCUCA
Molecule: ribosomal RNA, 430 nt
Filed under: Phrynopus barthlenae
Lineage: Eukaryota; Metazoa; Chordata; Amphibia; Anura; Strabomantidae
Description: partial 12S ribosomal RNA
Rfam family: Bacterial small subunit ribosomal RNA
Source: RNAcentral